This 274-nucleotide long non-coding RNA is filed under the name Amborella trichopoda. Its description in RNAcentral is "long non-coding RNA (ATRI_LNC004305)". The record is from RNAcentral. Lineage: Eukaryota; Viridiplantae; Streptophyta; Magnoliopsida; Amborellales; Amborellaceae.
UUUGUCAUCCUCUUUGUUGAAUGAAUGAGGCCCAAUAACAAAUGUUUCAAUAAUUAAGGAGUGAAGUCCCACCACCUGUUACCAAAUGCUCCCAACUUUUACUACUAACCUAUUAGCCAUCUCAUCUAACCUGGCCUAUAUUUCAUCAAUUCAUUAAAAUGUCAUCCACUUUGCCAGCCUAAACUAUACUUCUCAAAAGAGCGUAUAUUUUCUUAGAAAUGACCUUGUAUUUGUAGACUAUACUAACCUGUACAAAUAAAGGGGCCUAUUUAUG